GAUGAACGCUGGCGGCGUGCUUAACACAUGCAAGUCGAACGGACAGGUCAUGCUUUUGUUGGUUGCACGAGUGGCGAACGGGUGAGUAACACGUGUGUAACCCGCCCCUGUCUUUGGGAUAACUUUACGAAACUGGGGCUCAUACCCCAUAGGAGCUCUUGCUGCAUGGUGGGGAUUGGAAAGAUUCGGCGGUUGUGGAUCGACUCGAGGCUUAUCAGCUUGUUGGUGGGGUAGUGGCUUACAAAGGUUUCGACGGGUAGCCGGCCUGAGAGGGUGAACGGGCACAUUGGGACUGAGAUACGGCCCAGACGGCUACGGGACGCAGCAGUGGGGAACAUGGCAGAAUGGGCGGAAGCCUGAUGCAGCAACGUCGCGUGCGGAAUGACGGCCUUCGGGGUGAAAACCGCUGUCGCCUGUGACGAAGCGUGAGUGACGGUAACGGGUAAAGAAGCAACGGCUAACUACGUG
RNAcentral lists this ribosomal RNA (468 nucleotides) under uncultured bacterium. RNAcentral describes it as "partial 16S ribosomal RNA". It matches the Rfam family "Bacterial small subunit ribosomal RNA", at positions 28 to 507 of the family's 1533-position model. The record is from RNAcentral.